Molecule: long non-coding RNA, 1264 nt
Filed under: Homo sapiens (human)
Lineage: Eukaryota; Metazoa; Chordata; Mammalia; Primates; Hominidae
Description: HSALNT0193920
Source: RNAcentral
CUUCAGAGUGAAGGCAUAUCAGUUAUUCUUGAACAAGUCAAUACAGCUCUGCAAAAGGGAGACACUGUUCCUCGCAUGUUUUAUUUCCAGUUCAGACAUUUCAAUUAGAUUCUUUCUAAAUGCUGCCACUUUCUUCCGUUUGAAAUUUAUCAGUUCUUCCUUUGCAGAUUUGGAAAGCUAUUCAAAUUUCUGGCAGCACUCCUCCUAGUGUACCUUAGCCAACUUGACAUCUUUGCUCUUUAAACUGGGCCUUAUCCAGAGCUUUGUUUGAUUUUUCAUAGUCAAUGAGGGCUUUGGUGCAUCUGUGUAAGAGAUCCUUAGCAGCUUCGAUGUUGAGCAUGUAGUAUCGGAGGAGCUCUGUUAGCUUUAAAUCUUCAUCUGAUGAGAUUCAACCCUCUACUUUCCUAAGUUUUUCAAAUAGCUCAGCAACCUUCAAUAGAUACUUUUUGAUGACUGUGGGCUCUUCUAAAGCCAGGCUAUGUAAGCAGGCUGCAGUGUGAAUAUAGUCAUCGGCAACAUUUUUAUGAGAUCUGGUCAUUUUGUCAGCUUUCACACAAGAAUCUUUGAUCCUACUCUAAUAGUUAAUAAGGAAGUCAUUCUCUUGCUCAAAGAAGUCAUCUACCUCCUUAACUCCAGUAAAAAGGACUGCAUCAGCACUUUCACCACACUUUUGAAGAAGCCACCAAACAUCUCUUUAGUAUUUUUCCACCUAACACUUAGAUCCUGAUCAUAUUCCAGGAAAAUAUGAAAGUUGCGAUCUUUACUGAGAACAGGGUGAGAAGAAAGCCACUAAAGAAAGGCUUCAUGGGAGGACACAGUCUUCUUAAAAACAGCGAGAUACUCAGCUUCCAGUUCUUAUUUCAUCUUGGCAAAUUCUUCUUUGGUCAAAGACCCUUUACCUUCUCCCAGUUUCUGCAUCUUCUCUCAAGGACCAUUGAAGUCAGCCUUCGUAGGAGCAGGCGGAAUCUGCAGCAGAGGCAGGAACUCAUGAGUCUCUUGGUACAUGAAGAGUGUCAUGUAGUCACACAAAGUCCUCAUGUUGCCUUGUAACAGAAAACUCUGGAUUCUGAAAUGUGGGCAGUGUGGUCUUUGUGUGCACUGUAAAUUUGACCUUAUCUCUCUCACUGAGCGCAUCAGGUAUGUCAAUCUGAAGUGAGGGAUCAACAUUCAGGUCCACAGAUACAGAUCUCAGCUUCCUGUGGUCCUCCUCCUGCUGCUGCAGCAACUCAGGAACUGUGGCCAUGGCAACGCAGGACUCAAGCAG